RNAcentral lists this unclassified non-coding RNA (339 nucleotides) under soil metagenome. RNAcentral describes it as "partial contains 5.8S ribosomal RNA, internal transcribed spacer 2, and large subunit ribosomal RNA". The stretch from base 1 to 121 matches the Rfam family "5.8S ribosomal RNA", at positions 35 to 154 of the family's 154-position model. The record is from RNAcentral.
GAUGAAGAAACGUAGCGAAAUGUGAUAAGUAAUGUGAAUUGCAGAAUUCAGUGAAUCAUCGAAUCUUUGAACGCACAUUGCGCCCGCCAGUAUUCUGGCGGGCAUGCCUGUCUGAGCGUCAUUUCAACCCUCAAGCAACUUCUGCUUGGUGUUGGGGAUCGGCCGUCAAACGCCGCCCCCGAAAUCUAUUGGCGAUCUCGCUGUAGCUUCCUAUGCGUAGUAGUAACAUCUCGCAUCUGGAGAGCGGCGCGGUCAUGCCGUAAAACACCCAACUUCUCAGGUUGACCUCAGAUCAGGUAGGAAUACCCGCUGAACUUAAGCAUAUCAAUAAGCGGAGGA